CUAGUUGGUAAGGUAAAGGCUUACCAAGGCUACGAUGUUUAGGGGAUCUGAGAGGAUGACCCCCCACACUGGUACUGAGACACGGACCAGACUCCUACGGGAGGCAGCAGUAAGGAAUAUUGGUCAAUGGGCGAAAGCCUGAACCAGCCAUGCCGCGUGCAGGAAGACUGCCCUACGGGUUGUAAACUGCUUUUGUACCGGAAUAAACCUUUGGUCGUGACCAGAGCUGAAUGUACGGUAAGAAUAAGGAUCGGCUAACUCCGUGCCAGCAGCCGCGGUAAUACGGAGGAUCCAAGCGUUAUCCGGAUUUAUUGGGUUUAAAGGGUGCGUAGGUGGCUUUUUAAGUCAGGGGUGAAAGACGGUAGCUUAACUAUCGCAGUGCCUUUGAUACUGAAGAGCUUGAAUGAACUAGAGGUAGGCGGAAUGUGACAAGUAGCGGUGAAAUGCAUAGAUAUGUCACAGAACACCAAUUGCGAAGGCAGCUUACUAUGGUUUAAUUGACACUGAGGCACGAAAGCGUGGGGAUCAAACAGGAUUAGAUACCCUGGUAGUCCACGCCCUAAACGAUGAAUACUCGAUGUUGGCGAUAUACGGUCAGCGUCUAAGCGAAAGCGUUAAGUAUUCCACCUGGGGAGUACGCCCGCAAGGGUGAAACUCAAAGGAAUUGACG
This 670-nucleotide ribosomal RNA is filed under the name uncultured Bacteroidota bacterium. Its description in RNAcentral is "SSU rRNA". It matches the Rfam family "Bacterial small subunit ribosomal RNA", at positions 245 to 915 of the family's 1533-position model. The record is from RNAcentral. Lineage: Bacteria; Pseudomonadati; Bacteroidota.